Pezoporus flaviventris is the source of this 2262-nucleotide long non-coding RNA. RefSeq lists it as uncharacterized. NCBI's taxonomy places the organism in Eukaryota, Metazoa, Chordata, Aves, Psittaciformes, Psittacidae. The transcript has 7 exons. The record is from RefSeq and is a predicted model, not a curated record.
GGUCUCAGAGUGAUUUUGUUGUGCAUGACUUAACACUUAGUCUUGUGAUUUUUGAUCAGAAUUGUGAGAAAUACAAAAACAUGAUUUGUGGUGACGUGUGAUUUGUGGUGAUGUGUACUAUGUCUCAAAACGUGGCUUGGACUGCCUUUCAGCAUUAGGUCCUCUUUGGAUUUGAGCACUGUGCUUGGGUGGCGAUUGCCAAAAAGCACUGAAGAUUUGAGCACAGAUCACUGACCCCAGCAGGAGUCUUGCCAUUGACUCAAAUGGCUGAGACUUGGGCUGAGAUCAAGGACUUUUGGAUGUUGGAUUUGGCUUUAAUACAGUGUUUCAGACCUGGCCAUUCUAUUGUGACCCGCACAGACAUUGCUGAGACGAGCACAGGAGAAAAAAAGGCAUUAAUAUCUAUCUUUUCAAUCAAUGCAUAGAAUUCCUCAGAUCCAGCACCACAUCCUUUGGAGGUGGUCAAAUGUUUCAUUCAUGUUCAUUGUGAACAGCAACAAAAAAAGUAAUCUAGCUGAAAUGCAGAGGCCUGGCAGCUAUGUCUGGGUGCGUCUCAGACUAAUCCAUACCUUUCCUUUUUGUGCAUUAUUCUAACAGCAGGUGAUCUGAUGUGUUACCUGAAAAUGCACUUUGAAUUUACAAUUCCUGCUUCCUGGCCCCACUGGAGGUGAGGUAAUCCAUGAAGCCCCAGGAGCUGAAUGAGCAGUGGCUGCCUCUAGACCCGAGUACCAAAUUGUUGAACAGAUUUCUCCUUUGAAAAUGCCACUGUCACUUGAAAAUGCCAUGUGUACAAUGCAGCUGUCUGACUUCUCAGCAUUACAAAGAAACAAGGCCACGUGAAGCCUAUAAACAAGCUUGUCUUCAGUGCCAUUGCUGUAAGAAGGAAGUUUGCAAACUACAGUCUUCCUUGCUUUACUUCUUGAAUUUUCCAGUUGCUGCUGCUGACAAGACAGACUAGGGCCUGCUCUGACAUGACCAGUGCUAACUCCAGAAAGGGUCCUGGUCAAGAGUUGAAAGUAAGGAAAAGAGAGGAAGGAAACCACAAAGAAAGAAGCAUAUGAAAAGUAAAAAAAAAUACAGACCCGGAGGUAAACCUACACACUCAGAGGUAAUUUGCCUUGAGGAGCAAGAACCCUUGAGACCUAUGUGUAGACUGUGGAAAAAAGAAUCUGUGAACAAUAGUAAAGGCUAUGAACGUGCUAUCCUCUGACAGUGAACUUAGGUCAGUAAUCAUCAUUAAGCUUGUGGGAAAGAUUGGGGAAGUGGGAUAAUACCAAAAUUCAUUACUUGCAAAGCCGUGUAGAGAACAAGAGACUUAAAAGGAGACAACAGAUUUUUUUUGCAUGGAUGAAAUCAUGAGCUCCUCCCUGGGACUUUCCAUAACUCCUUUGAUCAAGCCUCUAAGACCUCUGCCAUGAAGUGUGGCUUCUGAGCUGUUCAAAGUUAGUGUGGGAAAGGAGUGAAGAGAAGUGUGGCCCUUAUAGUCACCUCCACAUCCAGCUUUCAUUAUAAGGCUGCAUUGGUCUGAGCACAAAGUUGUUCAGGGAAGUAAUAGUGUGGCUUACUUAGCAGCCAACUUUUGUUGGCUUUGGAGUCCUUGCUCUCAGGGUCAGUGUGGUUGCAUGGAUGUACAUAAUUUAUCUUUCCAUUGUAAUUUUUUGCCAUUUUAAAAGAGGGAGCAAUCCUUUUAUUUAAAUUCAGACAGAUCCAACAGUCUUGACCAAGAGAUAUUCCUGCCUUUUGCUUUCACCCUCGUUAAUGUGAGUGUACCUGUUCUCCUAUAAAAUAGAUAAGAUUUCAGCUGGGAAAUUCUCAUAAAAAUCUCAUCCUGUUAUGCUGCAUCUGUUAUCAUGGCAUCUCUGAGUAGCUUUGCCUGUUAGCCAGAGAUGUGUCACUGACAGCAAGGAACAAAAUGCAUCUUUGACUAGGGAAAUGUUACAAACUUGCUAGAUCAGAUCAGCAUCAGUGGUGAUUCAUCCUCCUCCUGUUAGACCCAGAGAGUAUGUAUGAACUAAACUUGCUGCUUUUGCUUGUAACUAUCCCUAGAAGGGAUUAAGUUUUUAAGAUCUGGCUACAUGUGUUUUGGAUAUUAAUAUGUGCUUUUGGUUCUGCGCCUGAAUAAGAUUUAGAGGAAUUUGAAGAGCAGCUGGACGCUAAAGCUUUAGGAGAUCGAGCGUCAAAGCCGGGCUCAUAGUAACCAACCUCCUGUCAGCAAAUCCAAAUGUUCUAUAUUUAACCUACUAUUAAAAUUAUGUUAUGUUA